AAAAACCUCCACAGAGACAGAAACAUAUGGCAGAAAACUAGGUGACAGGUCAUGACCAACAACAGAAAGAACGGAAAGAACCUCCACAGAGACAGAAACAUAGGGCAGAAAAUUAGGUGACAGUUCAAAAACAACAACAGAAAGAACGGAAAGAACGGAAAGAACCUCCACAGAGACAGAAACAUAGGGCAGAAAAUUAGGUGAAAGUUCAAAAACAACAACGGAAAGAAUGGAAAGAACGGAAAGAACGGAAAGAACCUCCACAGAGACAGAAACAUAGAGCAGAAAAUUAGGUAUCAGGUCAAGACCAACAACGGAAAGACCGGAAAGACCGGAAAGAACGGAAAGAACGGAAAGAACGGAAAGAACCUCCACAGAGACAGAAACAUAGGGCAGAAAAUUAGGUGACAGUUCAAAAACAACAAAAAGAACUGAAAGAAGGGAAAGAACCUCCACAGAGACAGAAACAUAGGGCAGAAAAAUAAGGUGACAGUUCAAAAACAACAACAGAAAGAACGGAAAGAACGGAAAGAACGGAAAGAACGGAAAGAUAGGAAAGACAGGAAAGAUAGGAAAGAUAGGAAAGAACGGAAAGAACGGAAAGAACCUCCACAGAGACAGAAACAUAGGGCAGAAAUUAGGUGACAGGUCAAGACCAACAACGGAAAGAACAGAAAGAACAGAAAGAACCUCCACAGAGACAGAAACAUAGGGCAGAAAAUUAGGUGACAGUUCAAAAACAACUACAGAAAGAACGGAAAGAACGGAAAGAACCUCCACAGAGACAGAAACAUAGAACAGAAAAUUAGGUGACAGUUCAAAAACAACAACAGAAAGCACGGAAAGAACGGAAAGAACGGAAAGAACCUCCACAGAGACAGAAACAUGGGGCAGAAAAUUAGGAGGCAGUUCAAAAAGAACGGAAAGAACGGAAAGAACGGAAAGAACGGAAAAACCUCCACAGAGACAGAAACAUAGGGCAGAAAAUUAGGUGACAGUUCAAAAACAACAACAGAAAGAACGGGAAGAACGGAAAGAACGGAAAGAACGGAAAGAACCUCCACAGAGACAGAAACAUAGGGCAGAAACUUAGGUGACAGUUCAAAAACAACAAAAACAACGGAAAGAACGGAAAGAACGGAAAGAACCUCCACAGAGACAGAAACAUAGGGCAGAAAAUUAGGUGACAGUUCGGAAAGAACGGAAAGAACCUCCACAGAGACAGAAACAUAGGGCAGAAAAUUUGGUGACAGUUCAAAAACAACAACAGAAAGAACGGAAAGAACGGAAAGAACCUCCACAGAGACAGAAACAUAGGGCAGAAAAUUAGGUGACAGUUCAAAAACAGCAACGCAAAGAACGCAAAGAACGCAAAGAACGCAAAGAACGCAAAGAACGCAAAGAACGCAAAGAACGCAAAGAACGCAAAGAACGCAAAGAACGCAAAG
This 1448-nucleotide long non-coding RNA is filed under the name Gallus gallus (chicken). RNAcentral's name for it is "lncRNA (ENSGALG00010007072.1)". Lineage: Eukaryota; Metazoa; Chordata; Aves; Galliformes; Phasianidae. The record is from RNAcentral.